UCAAAUUGUAUUUUUCAGCCAUUACAUUGUUACUUCCAGUAGCUACUGCCUUGUGCAUGUAUGAACAUCUCGUUUAAUGAAAAAUGAAAUGAUCAAAACCAUAUAAGAAUAAAGUAAAUGAACUGAAUAUCCUAAAAUUAGUUUACAACAUCGUCAACUGUGAUUAGGUCCUGUUGUUAAUGGUGUUUAAUGGGGGCUAAUUAUCUUCAAUAGGCAGCUAAUUAUUAGCUAACUGUAGCUGUGAAUAUUCAUCAUUUGAAGUUGGAGGAAGAGGAGGAGAACGAACAACUUCUUUACGAACGAACUGGUGGCCAUUUUUGCAAAGAUGGUAAUAAAAGAUGUUCGUCAUAUCUAAGAACUCUUCCUGCAACUACUUCACUUGUUUGACUACAAAUUGUGAAAAAAAAGUAGUAAUAAUAUUGUUAUGUUACGAGCAGGAGCUGAAAAAUUGUUACUUUGAGUUCUCAUAAUGUUGAUAUUUUUGUCCAAGCUGGG
This 495-nucleotide long non-coding RNA is filed under the name Nicotiana benthamiana. RNAcentral describes it as "long non-coding RNA (NBEN_LNC036529)". The record is from RNAcentral. Lineage: Eukaryota; Viridiplantae; Streptophyta; Magnoliopsida; Solanales; Solanaceae.